GAUGAACGCUAGCUACAGGCUUAACACAUGCAAGUCGAGGGGUAACGAGAGGAAAGCUUGCUUUCCUUGUCGACGACCGGCGCACGGGUGAGUAACGCGUAUCCAACCUGCCCCCAACUAGGGAAUAACCUUGCGAAAGUAAGACUAAUACCCUAUAAUUUCCUCAGAUGACAUCUGACGAGGAAUAAAGAUUUAUCGGUUGUGGAUGGGGAUGCGUCUGAUUAGCUUGUUGGCGGGGUAACGGCCCACCAAGGCAACGAUCAGUAGGGGUUCUGAGAGGAAGGUCCCCCACAUUGGAACUGAUACACGAUCCAAACUCCUACGGGAGGCAGCAGUGAGGAAUAUUGGUCAAUGGGCGGAAGCCUGAACCAGCCAAGUAGCGUGCAGGAUGACGGCCUAUGGGUUGUAAACUGCUUUUAUACAGGAAUAAAGUUAGCCACGUGAGGUUAUUUGUAGGUACUGUAUGAAUAAGGACCGGCUAAUUCCGUGCCAGCCGCCGCAGUAA
Molecule: ribosomal RNA, 505 nt
Filed under: uncultured bacterium
Lineage: Bacteria
Description: partial 16S ribosomal RNA
Rfam family: Bacterial small subunit ribosomal RNA
Source: RNAcentral